This 218-nucleotide ribosomal RNA is filed under the name uncultured fungus. Its description in RNAcentral is "partial small subunit ribosomal RNA". It matches the Rfam family "Eukaryotic small subunit ribosomal RNA", at positions 635 to 864 of the family's 1831-position model. The record is from RNAcentral. Lineage: Eukaryota; Fungi.
GGUCGUGAAUUUCGGUCCAUCCCGUGAGGGUUGUGUACUAGAAAUAUGCGACCAUCCUCGAAGAAAAUAUAUCUGAUAUUUAUUUAUUGGGUAUAAGAUCUUCGUCAUUUACUGUGAGCAAAAUAGAGUGUUCAAAGCAGGCUUAUGCCGUUGAAUAUAUUAGCAUGGAAUAAUAAGAUAAGACCUUGGUCUAUUUUGUUGGUUUGCUGUCCAAGGUA